This is a long non-coding RNA of Nicotiana tabacum (common tobacco), 1096 nucleotides long. RefSeq lists it as uncharacterized. The record is from RefSeq and is a predicted model, not a curated record. NCBI's taxonomy places the organism in Eukaryota, Viridiplantae, Streptophyta, Magnoliopsida, Solanales, Solanaceae.
AGUCCCAUCAACAAGCAAGGAGUGUGACGGAAACGAUGAGAGUCUCACAUUUAAUUAGAGAUUUUGUGUGUAAUUUCUUUUUAAAAAUCUUUUCUUAGGAAGUGUUUUCUCUUUUUGUAGGUCUUAUUAGAAGUGCAAAUUUGAAUUAAUGGGUCAGUAAGCAAUAUGAAUUUGAAUUAAUCAGUGAGUGAGUUUUUGAACAUAUGAUAAAAAAGAAAGAGAGAUCCCGGCCCGCAUGUUAGUUGAAACAGGGUCUACCUAUCUCCAAUAAAAUACUACCAAGUAAUGAUCAUAUAUAGUAGCUUUCCAUUUCAAUGGUGUAGAAAGCUAAACCAAGGGAAAGGAUUCCUGCAGUCCAAGUUAAGCAGUAGUGGUCCUAACCGGAGUGCUUUCCAAAAAUGGUUCUUUCUUUUCUUUUACUUCGCAUAUUAGGGUAUAUCUUUGAGUGACGGAAAUCAAAUGAUGAUUACUUAGUUGAUGCUCAUAAUGUGUCUCUACUUAUAUGUCUCUAUAGCAGUGAAACUUGUGUGGCAGUCGCUUUGACUGACAUGUACUAACGAUAUCGAAUUGCCAUUGGAGGAAAACAAGUGUUAAAGUACUGAGGUGUGAAGACCAACCCAGAUCGGCUUUUUGGAUUUUCAUCGACCCUCAAGUCAUUACUUUCUAAAAGAAACUAAUGUCUUUAAUUGGGAUGGAUGACAAUGAACUUGAAGUGGAUGGAAAAGCUAUUGAGAUGUGGAAAAGCAUGUCAAAGGAGGUACUUCAUUUGGAUCUAUUGAUGGAAACUGUGUUCCCAUGGAUGCCGAGAAAAAUCUCUUGAGACAAAAAUGGUACGUUCCAUGCUCUUCUACUGUCCAACAUCUCUGGACUGAUACAUGGGACCUUCAUGAUUAUGGAAGGCAAGUCAAGAUGUGGCUAUUGUGAGCAGUACGUAGUUAUUCUAGAAGUUAAUGGUAAUGUAUAAAUAGUAUAUUUUGAAAAGUGCAUGUUCAUUUGAUGGACUUCAAGAAUCAUAUGGUUGUAUUUUGGAAAUGAUAGUGGAUCAUGAAUUCAUUUCAUGGGCAAAAAGAAAUACACGUACCUAUUUUGGAGAUAA